Molecule: small RNA, 856 nt
Filed under: Pongo abelii (Sumatran orangutan)
Lineage: Eukaryota; Metazoa; Chordata; Mammalia; Primates; Hominidae
Description: processed transcript
Source: RNAcentral
GAGCUGUACAAAGAUGCUGAUGAGGGGCUGCAGCAUGCAAUUCACUUCACCAGCAGUCACUAAGAGUCUUGCUCUGUAGCCAGGCUGGAGUGCAGUGGCACAAUCUCGGCUCACUGCAACCUUCACCUCCUGGGUUCAAGAAAUUCACCUGCCUCAGCCUCCCAAAUAGUUGGGACUACAGAGGAAAGGCCAUGUAAAGACAGAGAAAAGGCUGCCCUCUGCAGGCCAGGAAGAGAGGCCUCACCAGAAACCAACUUGGACUUCUAGCAUCUAGAACUAUGUUUAUUGUAAGGAUUAAAUCAGCUAAACCAAGAAAAGCCUCAAGGAUGGUGCCUGGCAAACUGCACGCUGUUAAUACGUAUUAGUGGACCCUUCUUCACACCUUCCUGCUACACUAAAGCAGAGAGAAUUACCUUCUGAAUCAUGUUUGCAGAACUUCUGGGCACAGUGACUCAACUCCCAGCUAUUCUUGUCAUGGAUUUUUUUCUCUUGGAGUCAAUCCAGCUAUGGAGAUCACUGGUCUUGUGAAUUUUUUCUCUUUCAGUAUGAAAUCAUUAGAACUGAGAAAAUGAAAACAUUCCUGUUAUUACUUCCUGAGAGAAAGAAAUUUAGUAACAUGCUUUGGUAGGAAUUGUUCUUAUUUCUCCUGCUGUGUCCCUCUUGCUGGUCCCACCAGGGCUCUUGGUGCUGAUCCUGAUUUACACCAGGAGCAUAAUCUGAUCAAAAAGAGGGAAACUAAAGAAAAGAGGCAGGAUUAUAUGAGGGGUUCUCACAAUGGCAGUACAUAAUCCCUUAUACCUCGUAUUAUGUAGCCCCCUCUGUUUCCAAGUUACCUUUGUAAUUUAGGUAAGUGAGC